RNAcentral lists this ribosomal RNA (567 nucleotides) under uncultured bacterium. RNAcentral's name for it is "partial 16S ribosomal RNA". It matches the Rfam family "Bacterial small subunit ribosomal RNA", at positions 355 to 914 of the family's 1533-position model. The record is from RNAcentral.
UGGGGAAUUUUGGACAAUGGGCGAAAGCCUGAUCCAGCAAUGCCGCGUGUGUGAAGAAGGCCUUCGGGUUGUAAAGCACUUUUGUCCGGAAAGAAAUCCUUGGCUCUAAUACAGUCGGGGGAUGACGGUACCGGAAGAAUAAGCACCGGCUAACUACGUGCCAGCAGCCGCGGUAAUACGUAGGGUGCAAGCGUUAAUCGGAAUUACUGGGCGUAAAGCGUGCGCAGGCGGUUUGCUAAGACCGAUGUGAAAUCCCCGGGCUCAACCUGAGAACUGCAUUGGUGACUGGCAGGCUAGAGUAUGGCAGAGGGGGGUAGAAUUCCACGUGUAGCAGUGAAAUGCGUAGAGAUGUGGAGGAAUACCGAUGGCGAAGGCAGCCCCCUGGGCCAAAUACUGACGCUCAUGCACGAAAGCGUGGGGAGCAAACAGGAUUAGAUACCCUGGUAGUCCACGCCCUAAACGAUGUCAACUAGUUGUUGGGGAUUCAUUUCCUUAGUAACGUAGCUAACGCGUGAAGUUGACCGCCUGGGGAGUACGGUCGCAAGAUUAAAACUCAAAGGAAUUGAC